CACGCCGCGUGAGUGAUGAAGGUUUUCGGAUCGUAAAGCUCUGUUGUUAGGGAAGAACAAGUACCGUUCGAAUAGGGCGGUGCCUUGACGGUACCUAACCAGAAAGCCACGGCUAACUACGUGCCAGCAGCCGCGGUAAUACGUAGGUGGCAAGCGUUGUCCGGAAUUAUUGGGCGUAAAGGGCUCGCAGGCGGUUUCUUAAGUCUGAUGUGAAAGCCCCCGGCUCAACCGGGGAGGGUCAUUGGAAACUGGGGAACUUGAGUGCAGAAGAGGAGAGUGGAAUUCCACGUGUAGCGGUGAAAUGCGUAGAGAUGUGGAGGAACACCAGUGGCGAAGGCGACUCUCUGGUCUGUAACUGACGCUGAGGAGCGAAAGCGUGGGGAGCGAACAGGAUUAGAUACCCUGGUAGUCCACGCCGUAAACGAUGAGUGCUAAGUGUUAGGGGGUUUCCGCCCCUUAGUGCUGCAGCUAACGCAUUAAGCACUCCC
This 488-nucleotide ribosomal RNA is filed under the name Bacillus subtilis. RNAcentral's name for it is "bacterial SSU rRNA". It matches the Rfam family "Bacterial small subunit ribosomal RNA", at positions 393 to 871 of the family's 1533-position model. The record is from RNAcentral. Lineage: Bacteria; Bacillati; Bacillota; Bacilli; Caryophanales; Bacillaceae.